ACCUGUUCUAACGUACUAAAUUUUUAGCUUGCUACUACCUCUUCUUCUAUUACCUGUUCACUUGCUAAUACAUGUUCUACUUCUGUGCUAUUUUUUUAGUGAAGACAGAGAAUAUGCGUGCUUGUAAGUCUCCAACUGUGCUAUCUUGUCUUGGAUCAAUCUCCCUGUUCUGGUGGAUGCCAAGCCUUCAGCUGCAGAGUAAACUAGAUCGUUACAUGUACUGAAGCCCUGCCAUGACUCCGACCAUGUCUCCGGCAAGGCGGAGUCUACAAUACGAGAGCACCACCCUACGUGACCUCUGCAGUGACGAAAGGUGCAAACCAAAGGCCUCCUGGAGGGUGGAGGGCUCGCUGGAGAUUUGUUGGUACGCUAGAUACAGGAAUGA
This 385-nucleotide long non-coding RNA is filed under the name Hordeum vulgare. RNAcentral's name for it is "long non-coding RNA (HVUL_LNC016060)". Lineage: Eukaryota; Viridiplantae; Streptophyta; Magnoliopsida; Poales; Poaceae. The record is from RNAcentral.